Molecule: transfer RNA, 67 nt
Filed under: Agnetina aequalis
Lineage: Eukaryota; Metazoa; Arthropoda; Insecta; Plecoptera; Perlidae
Description: tRNA-Asn
Source: RNAcentral
UUAAUUGAAGCCAAAAUUGAGGCGUAUCACUGUUAAUGAUAUCAUUGAAUUAUCCGUUCCAAUUAAG